This 465-nucleotide ribosomal RNA is filed under the name uncultured bacterium. Its description in RNAcentral is "partial 16S ribosomal RNA". It matches the Rfam family "Bacterial small subunit ribosomal RNA", at positions 338 to 795 of the family's 1533-position model. The record is from RNAcentral.
CCUACGGGGGGCAGCAGUAGGGAAUCUUCCACAAUGGGCGCAAGCCUGAUGGAGCAACACCGCGUGAGUGAAGAAGGGUUUCGGCUCGUAAAGCUCUGUUGUUGGAGAAGAACGUUCGUGAGAGUAACUGUUCACGCAUUGACGGUAUCCAACCAGACAGUCACGGCUAACUACGUGCCAGCAGCCGCGGUAAUACGUAGGGGGCAAGCAUUAUCCGGAUUUAUUGGGCGUAAAGCGAGCGCAGGCGGUUGCUUAGGUCUGAUGUGAAAGCCUUCGGCUUAACCGAAGAAGUACAGCGGAAACCGGGCGACUUGAGUGCAGAAGAGGACAGUGGAACUCCAUGUGUAGCGGUGGAAUGCGUAGAUAUAUGGAAGAACACCAGUGGCGAAGGCGGCUGUCUGGGCUGCAACUGACGCUGAGGCUCGAAAGCAUGGGUAGCGAACAGGAUUAGAUACCCGAGUAGUC